GUGCUUGCUUCGACAGCACAGGUACUAAAAUUGGACCGAUACAGAGAAGAUUAGCAUGGGCCCUGCACAGGAUGUUAUGCAAAUUCUUGAAGAAAAAAAAAAAAGA
Molecule: small nuclear RNA, 106 nt
Organism: Ailuropoda melanoleuca (giant panda)
Lineage: Eukaryota; Metazoa; Chordata; Mammalia; Carnivora; Ursidae
Source: Ensembl